ACGAGAUAUUGUAAAAUGUUAUACAUAUUUGAUUUUAUUUUUUAUUGUUUUAGUUCUUAAAGACAAUGACGAAAACUCGUAUCAUGUACUUCAAACUGUGCCUCCGACAGUUGAGGCGCCCGAUGGUUCUAGUGUUUCACUCACAGAACAAACAGGUUCUAUAAUUGACGGUGAUCCCUACUUUUCCUCUGAUUCUGAAAUUGAUCCAUUGUACCAGCCUGUAAGGAGAGUUUCAGAGACUUUUACCUCUGAAAAUAUAUCUAACAGUUCUGAAGAAGGCAAUGAAGUAAUAUGGAGUAAAUACAUUCAAAAACAUGUCCCCUCUACAAGCAAAUAAGCAGACUCGGACACUUUGACAAGAAAACGUCAAAGAAAUCCACUUGUGGAAACGUAAUAUUCAAAAUACUUUAAGGCUAGCUGGAAAGGAAUAUCUUAAGGCGACGAAUUUUUUGUGAUGAACAUACUUAUUAGAUGUUUGCUCUGUGUCUGGGUGUUAAUUAUCUAAUCAGCCAUCUGGUUUCCAUAACACAAGCGAAAGCUUAGUAUGGGAUCAGAUCGUGCCGUGUGUGAAAAUUGUCCCGAAAUAGUUAAAAAAAAAUUCCAGUGAUUGGUAAAUUUAUCCUAUAGGAGCUAUGUAUGGUAGUGUGGCCGCCACUGCUGGUGUUGUUGUUUUUAAACCAGCUGUAAACUAAAAAUAUUUAAUAACCUUUACCUAAACCGUCUAUAGGCAAAACAGCACAGAUAGCAGCGUGAAUAAAAAUUUUAACCCGGGUCAACGGUGGUGCAUGCUGGAGGAGAAAACGGAUUUAUCCCAGAUGCAGAUUUGUUAUACAAAUGCAAAAGUACUACUGGCGAUUACCAUCAUGAAAUAAAUACCGAGAAUUUUUUGAAAUGGCUUAAUGAAAAGCUGAUACCAAACUUGCCCCCAAAUAGUAUAGUCGUCAUUGACAACGCGCCUUACCACUCAACGCAGUCGGUGAAGGCGCCCACAAGUGCAACGUUAAAAGGAGACAUGCAACAAUGGCUUCGUGACAACAAUAUUCCAUUUGAUGAAAAAAUGAGAAAAAGAGAACUCUACCAUAUUAUAAACGCAAAGCCCCCCAGCAAUAUAUAUUGUCGAUGAUUUAAUGAAGCGACAGUCGACAUGGCCAUGAAAUCGUACGUUUGCCACCCCACCAUUGUGACCUCAACCCCAUUGAAUAUGUCUGGAAUUUGGUCAAACAGAGGGUGGCAUAAAAAAACGUAGACCAACAAGAAAUAAAAAUUGAAAAUCUCACCAGAGAUGCAAUAAUCACAGCAUCAGACUGGAAAAAAGAAGUUAUCUAUGUCGAGACUCGAGAGACUACAACAGGAAUACUGGAAGAUGACGAGAAAAGGUUGACGACGUACUACAGCAACUUGUAAUCUAUCUUGGAGGAGAGGAGUCAUCCGACAGCGAGAUCGAAAGUGAAGAAGAAGACAGUUUAAACCAUUACUAAUAUUGUACCAAUUAAUUAUUUAUAGUGAAGAUGAAUUUUGAAUAAAUAUUUAUCUAU
Long non-coding RNA from Colias croceus (clouded yellow), 1535 nucleotides. RefSeq lists it as uncharacterized. NCBI's taxonomy places the organism in Eukaryota, Metazoa, Arthropoda, Insecta, Lepidoptera, Pieridae. The record is from RefSeq and is a predicted model, not a curated record. The transcript is spliced from 3 exons.